This is a non-coding RNA of Ictidomys tridecemlineatus (thirteen-lined ground squirrel), 415 nucleotides long. NCBI's taxonomy places the organism in Eukaryota, Metazoa, Chordata, Mammalia, Rodentia, Sciuridae. The record is from RefSeq and is a predicted model, not a curated record.
UCAAGUGCCACCUGUUUGGCACUUUCAAUUCUUCUUAUUUUUUUUUUAAGUCAAGUAGCCCAUCAUGUAAAAAUUUCAAGCUUAAAAUCGUGGCAUUAGAAGUGAAGUGUGCGGCUUCUCCUGAUUCAGUUUCUCUGAUACCUCAUGUUCUCUUCCAGCAUUCAUGGAACAAUUACAGUUGCCACACAAAAGAAAGGGAGGAAAUGAGGUCUAGACUACCAGGUGUUCCUGGAGAGGAAGAGGCACUGGCUACAAAGGAAAGAAAGGCUUAAAGAGGAAAUAAAAAGACAUUGAAGAUCAGCCUUAUCUCUUUUGCAUUUUACCUUGAACUGUGCUGUGGAACAACAUUUCCUUCUGCCUCAACCCUGACUCUGUCUGAGCGUGGUGACGGAUGCUGAAGAGCAAGGACUAAUGC